CCUACGGGUGGCUGCAGUGGGGAAUAUUGGACAAUGGGCGAAAGCCUGAUCCAGCCAUGCCGCGUGUGUGAAGAAGGCCUUCGGGUUGUAAAGCACUUUCAGUGGGGAAGAAAGCCUUGGGGCUAAUACCCUCGAGGAAGGACAUCACCCACAGAAGAAGCACCGGCUAACUCCGUGCCAGCAGCCGCGGUAAUACGGAGGGUGCGAGCGUUAAUCGGAAUUACUGGGCGUAAAGCGCGCGUAGGCGGUCUGAUAAGCCGGUUGUGAAAGCCCCGGGCUCAACCUGGGAACGGCAUCCGGAACUGUCAGGCUAGAGUGCAGGAGAGGAAGGUAGAAUUCCCGGUGUAGCGGUGAAAUGCGUAGAGAUCGGGAGGAAUACCAGUGGCGAAGGCGGCCUUCUGGACUGUCACUGACGCUGAGGUGCGAAAGCGUGGGUAGCAAACAGGAUUAGAUACCCGUGUAGUC
This 465-nucleotide ribosomal RNA is filed under the name Vreelandella stevensii. Its description in RNAcentral is "partial 16S ribosomal RNA". It matches the Rfam family "Bacterial small subunit ribosomal RNA", at positions 338 to 795 of the family's 1533-position model. The record is from RNAcentral. Lineage: Bacteria; Pseudomonadati; Pseudomonadota; Gammaproteobacteria; Oceanospirillales; Halomonadaceae.